UCGAACGAGAAAGGGUAGCAAUACCUGAGUAAAGUGGCGCACGGGUGAGUAACACGUGACUAACCUACCCUGGAGUGGGGAAUAACUGAGGGAAACCUUAGCUAAUACCGCAUAAUACCUACGGGUCAAAGGAGCAAUUCGCUUCAGGAGGGGGUCGCGGCCGAUUAGUUAGUUGGCGGGGUAAUGGCCCACCAAGACGAUGAUCGGUAUCCGGCCUGAGAGGGCGCACGGACACACUGGAACUGAAACACGGUCCAGACUCCUACGGGAGGCAGCAGUGGGGAAUUUUGCGCAAUGGGGGAAACCCUGACGCAGCAACGCCGCGUGGAGGAUGAAAUAUCUUGGUAUGUAAACUCCUUUCGAUGGGGAAGAUUAUGACGGUACCCAUAGAAGAAGCCCCGGCUAACUUCGUGCCAGCAGCCGCGGUAAUACGAAGGGGGCAAGCGUUGUUCGGAUUUAUUGGGCGUAAAGGGUGCGU
Molecule: ribosomal RNA, 478 nt
Filed under: uncultured Acidobacteriota bacterium
Lineage: Bacteria; Pseudomonadati; Acidobacteriota
Description: bacterial SSU rRNA
Rfam family: Bacterial small subunit ribosomal RNA
Source: RNAcentral